GGCUCGUUGGUCAAGCGGUUAAGACACCGCCCUUUCACGGCGGUAACACGGGUUCGAGUCCCGUACGGGUCA
RNAcentral lists this transfer RNA (72 nucleotides) under Enterococcus faecalis. RNAcentral describes it as "tRNA-Glu". It matches the Rfam family "tRNA". From Rfam's summary of the family: Transfer RNA (tRNA) molecules are approximately 80 nucleotides in length. Their secondary structure includes four short double-helical elements and three loops (D, anti-codon, and T loops). Further hydrogen bonds mediate the characteristic L-shaped molecular structure. tRNAs have two regions of fundamental functional importance: the anti-codon, which is responsible for specific mRNA codon recognition, and the 3' end, to which the tRNAs corresponding amino acid is attached (by aminoacyl-tRNA synthetases). tRNAs cope with the degeneracy of the genetic code in two manners: having more than one tRNA (with a specific anti-codon) for a particular amino acid; and 'wobble' base-pairing, i.e. permitting non-standard base-pairing at the 3rd anti-codon position. The record is from RNAcentral. Lineage: Bacteria; Bacillati; Bacillota; Bacilli; Lactobacillales; Enterococcaceae.